GCUGGGCACAGUGGUGCAUGCCUGUAAUCCCAGCUGCUAGGGAGGCUGAGACAGGAGGAGUGGGAGUUCACAGCCAGCCUCAGCAAUGGUGAGGCCCUAAGCAAUUCAGUGAGACCCUGUCUCUA
This 125-nucleotide small RNA is filed under the name Marmota monax (woodchuck). The record is from RNAcentral. Lineage: Eukaryota; Metazoa; Chordata; Mammalia; Rodentia; Sciuridae.